Molecule: ribosomal RNA, 303 nt
Filed under: uncultured bacterium
Lineage: Bacteria
Description: partial 16S ribosomal RNA
Rfam family: Bacterial small subunit ribosomal RNA
Source: RNAcentral
AGCAGUCGCCGCGGGAACACGAAGGGUGCAAGCGUUACUCGGAAUUACUGGGCGUAAAGCGUGCGUAGGUGGUGGUUUAAGUCCGUUGUGAAAGCCCUGGGCUCAACCUGGGAAUUGCAGUGGAUACUGGGUCACUAGAGUGUGGUAGAGGAUAGUGGAAUUUCCGGUGUAGCAGUGAAAUGCGUAGAGAUCGGAAGGAACAUCUGUGGCGAAGGCGACUAUCUGGGCCAACACUGACACUGAGGCACGAAAGCGUGGGGAGCAAACAGGAUUAGAUACCCCCGUAGUCCCUGUCUCUUAUAC